This 1236-nucleotide long non-coding RNA is filed under the name Anser brachyrhynchus (Pink-footed goose). RNAcentral's name for it is "lncRNA (ENSABRG00000000472.1)". The record is from RNAcentral. Lineage: Eukaryota; Metazoa; Chordata; Aves; Anseriformes; Anatidae.
UGCACUGGUGAAGGGGCAUGUGAUGGCCCCACUUGGAAGGGACCCACAAGGUCAAAUCCAGCUCCUGGUUCUGAACAAGACCGCCCCAGAAUCAAAGAAUGUUAGCAUGUGUUUGUCCCCUUCUGUUCCUUACUAAGUAGAGCUCCACAGACUUUUAAUCUGAUUCAAUAUAGUGUGUUUUAUAAGCUUCAUCAAGAAAAUGACAUUUUUUCUGAUAACCUGCAGUGUUUGGUUGAUGCAGUAGGUAUUAUAAAUGACUUGACUCAAUAAAAUGGCUUUUCAAAUGAGCAGAACUCAGAACUUGCUUAGGUUUUUGGUUCUAGCUUCUACAGUGUUGUAACAGUAGCUUUUGAUAUCCCUGGUGAGCUCUGCCUAUGACUUGUUAUAAGGUAUAUGCAAGUAUGUACAAAGUAGCAACAAGUUAGCAGGUAGUGAUCUCUCUAAAAUGUAGAAAUACUCUACUGCAGAGAAGUGUCAACACUAAAAGCAAUUUAGGCUUUAAAAACUUUCUGUAAAGAGCAGCAUGUUUAAAAAUAAUUACGUUAGUUUAAAUGAUCUGAAAAGGAAAACAUCUCAGUAGAUUAAAUCGUUUAUGUUUUGCUCUCAAUAUUAUUUGAUGACUUCAAAUAAGUGACUCUGAGAUCUGGAAUAUGGCUUUAAGAAGGUCUAGUUAGGCAUGUUGUAUAAAUUAUACUAGAAUAAUUUUUGUCUUUUUGUGCUAUUUAGGAGAUACUUAGAAAUUUCACAUUUGAAAUGGUCUAGAUAUGGAUGAUCACACCUAAAUUGGAGGCAGUGCUCAGGACUACUUAGGAACGAAUAAUACCUUCUGCUAAGAAGAGUUUUCAAGUGUGAUGGUACUGCUUGACUGCCUAGAAUGCACUUCAUGAGCUUGUGUGAUAAACAACUUGAGUCAAGAGUUCCUUCUAAAUUGAUUGGUCUCCAGAGAGAAAGCCAGCAUGUGCAAGGGAUUAGAAUUGAUAGUAAACAUCAGCUUAUGAUUUGUUGAGUGGAUGACUGCUGACUUCACCCAAGGUUACUCCAGUUGUCUUCUGUAAUGUGUUGUCUUGAAGGUGGAAUUGAGAUAAGCAAUGGCUACAGCUACACAUCCUCAAUGACUGUUUAAACGGGAAUCUAGCUAUUGGUUGAAACUGAAGUUUCUUAAAGUUCUGUAACUUAUUUCUGUCUGUGUGGAUUAAUUGAAAUAAAACAAAGAUGCUACCAGAAGCUUGUGUUCUG